Molecule: ribosomal RNA, 253 nt
Filed under: uncultured bacterium
Lineage: Bacteria
Description: partial 16S ribosomal RNA
Rfam family: Bacterial small subunit ribosomal RNA
Source: RNAcentral
UACAGAGGUCCCAAGCGUUGUUCGGAUUCACUGGGCGUAAAGGGUGCGUAGGCGGUCGGGUAAGUCUGACGUGAAAUCUUCAAGCUCAACUUGGAAACUGCGUCCGAUACUAUUCGGCUAGAGGAAUGGAGGGGAGACUGGAAUACUUGGUGUAGCAGUGAAAUGCGUAGAUAUCAAGUGGAACACCAGUGGCGAAGGCGGCAUUCUGGACCGAAACUGACGCUGAGGCGCGAAAGCCAGGGGAGCAAACGGG